This 327-nucleotide long non-coding RNA is filed under the name Elaeis guineensis (African oil palm). Its description in RNAcentral is "long non-coding RNA (EGUI_LNC038194)". The record is from RNAcentral. Lineage: Eukaryota; Viridiplantae; Streptophyta; Magnoliopsida; Arecales; Arecaceae.
AUCCCUCCAAAGCUGAUUAUGCCUUAUAAGAGGUACAUGAAGGAAUAUAUGGAAAUCAUCUGAGAGGCAGGUUGCUAGCAUAUAAAAUACUUCGGCAAGGGUAUUACUGAUCCACCAAGCAACAAGAUGCGAUCAAUCUGACCAAUAAUGUGAUCGCUGCUAAUGAAAUGCCAACAUCCAAUGCCAACCAGCCAUGCCACUAACUCCCAUUAGACAUGCCAACUUAACUAAACAAAAUCGAUUUUGAUGUGGGUUUUAAUAAUUGAUUAGGGUUAAAUUGCAAAUAGUUUGGAUUCUAACCUAGGUUCUACAUAGAGGGUGGGGAUG